Equus caballus (horse) is the source of this 2133-nucleotide long non-coding RNA. The record is from Ensembl. Lineage: Eukaryota; Metazoa; Chordata; Mammalia; Perissodactyla; Equidae.
GUCAUCCGCUGGCGGGCAGGGGUCGGGCGGGGGUGGGGGGAGGCCUGGAAGGAGAUGUCCCUCGUGUGAACCAGCAGAAAAGCCAGCGCCAGAGAUGCAGGGAGAAGGCCCUGUGCCCGCCUGAGGUCUGUGAUGUCUCCGAUUCAGGUUUCUCUUCUGGCCAAGCCUAACCCGGAACCACGGAUGGAAGGGCGCUCCGAGACACAAGGCCCUGCCUCAGCUACGUUGUCACAAGAUGCAGCCAUCGCGGGCGCAGAGGGACGUCUUUGUCCAUCAGAUGGCGGCCCUGCCCCGCGUGUGGCCCUCAGUGGGGUCCAGUGACUUCACGAGCCUCGAGCUCCCUCCUGGGGCACCGGGCUCUGCGAUGUCUGCUCCCUGACCUCAGCCAGGACCCCCUCGCCCGUCCCGGCUGCACUGCUCCUCCUCGAGCUCCUCAGGCCUCCACGGGGCACCCUGGCCCUUGGACUUCAGUGCCCUCGGCCUGGGGUCCCCGUUCCAGGCCUCGGCCUCCACGGCCCUGCCUCCCUCUGGAACAUUUCCCUCCUUUUCUGGUGCGUCUCCCUCACGAGGACGUCCCCUCCUCGAGGCCCCUCAGCAGGCAUCCUGGCUCGGAGCAGGCAUUCUGCCCGCGGUAACCCUCUGCCUGCAGGAGCCUCCGAGUUGGAAGAGACGGGCCUUCGGGAGGAUGCUGGCGGGAGGUGCGCCCGUCCUGCAACAGGAGGACGAGGCCGACCCAGACGUUGCAAUAUGCCUGGCAGCCCCGUCUCCUCUGUCCCCAUUUGUCUAAUUGAUGCGAGCUCCCAGAUACCCCCCCGUACCGGCCCUGGGAGGGAGAAGAAAGCACAGGCCCAGGAGUCAGGAGAGCUGCAUCUGGCCCUGUUUCUGCCACUGACUUGCUGUGUGACUUUGGGCAAGCCCCUGGCCCUCUCUGGGCCUCAAUUUCCAGAUCUACGCACAUUGAGAGGAUUGGACUGGAGGACGUCUCUGGGCCUUUCCAGUCCUACAUCCUGUUCCAUUCUUUCCUAAAUUGAGGUGAGUUUUCUUUGGGGGCUUUGGGAGAAUUCUGAGGCUCUACUAGAGAUAACGGGACGUGUCCUUAGGGUGGGAAGCCCUGACCCAUGGGGCUGACCCCCCAGAGUCACUCUGUCCCCACCCGGGUGAGCCGGCGCCACAGAGGAGAGCCCUGCCCUGGGGCCACCCAGUUGUGGCCCAUUCAUGAAGCACCAGAAGGCACUGGCUGUCCCGGGAGGCAUCCGGGCCUCCGGGCGCAGACGCGGGGCACCUCCUGUCUCCUCCAGCAACGCCCCGCACAGCGAGGCCCCAGGGCCUUUGCUCGCACCGGCCUCCCUCCCGGCCGCUUAACCGUUAACCCGAGCCCAGCAGGUCACGACGCAGCCAGGCCUUUCUUGAAAGUCUUCCCGUGUUCUUGUUGUGACUCCCGGUCCCGUGGUUCACUGUCCACAACCCGUGGGGCAGAAACCGAGGUCAGACAGCUUGUGGUUCGGGGACCUGGGUUCAAAUCCAGGUCUUUGGAUUCUGAUUCCUCCAUUUACCAGUUGCAGGUCCUUCUAGUUGUGGCAUGUGGGACACCGCCUCAACAUGGCCUGAUGAGCGGUGCCGUGUCCGCGCCCAGGAUCCGAACCGGCGAAACCCUGGGCCGCUGAAGUGGAGUGCCUGGACUUAACCACUUGGUCAUGGACCCAAGCCCUAAUUUUAAUUUUUAAUUACUAAAUUCUAAUUAAAAUUUCUUGAGAUUUUUAACUGAAUCACUCAAUUUGAAGUUUAAUUGAAAGAACAAAUUUUAAUGUCGUUUUAAUCAAUCAUUUUAAUUUAACUUUAAUCAAUACAUUUAAAUUCGUAACUUUAUAGUUUUUAUCAAUACAUUUUAAUGUUUUCAUUUAAUUAGUGUUUCCAUGUCAUUUUAGUGAGUAAGUUUAAAUUUUAAUGAAUAUGUUUUCAUAUAAAUUUUUAAAUUUUGUAGAAAAUUAAAACCCUCCCUGAGGACGCCGAAGGCCUCCUGGAGCCAUCACCCAUGCCAGCCCCCUCCCCAGAAGGAACUGCCAUCAUCCAGGUCCCCAUGUGCAUGCAUCUCCUGCCCCCCAACUCCUUCCCCCCCAUCCGCCCCCACCCCCC